GCUUCUCCUAUUGGUUGAUGAAUAAAGCUGUUUCACCCAAUGGAUAGGCAGGAUGCAGCCAGGCAGGGCUGCCAGACUAGGAGAAGGCUAGGAAGAGAAACUCGGAGAGUGGCCAGGGAGACGCCAUGUAGCCGCCGGACAUGGAACUUUACAGGGUCUCACACAUCCUGAGUGGGCCUCAGACUCACUGGGUAGCCAAGGUGGCGCCGUCAAUUUUCUAUUGCCGUGAAGAGACACUAUGACCAAGGAAACUUACGCUUUCUCCACGAAUCUCUCCUCGGCCCCUGGCAACCACAAACUUAGUUUCUGACGCUACAGAUUUGCUUCUUACGGUUCCGGACGGUCCUGGACGUUUUGUGAACGAGAAUUCCUGGACAGAUUCUGCAAAGGCAGCGGCGGUGAUGUGGACGGGUUGGGACCCCGCAGGUCCAGAGCUAGUAGCUACAUCUCAGCUAGCUUUCCCCGCCCUCUUCUGUGUCAAAACUAACAUCCGGUGACUAACAGGUGAAAACCUUUCGGAACGCAUUAACUCAGCAGAUCGCUGGCUUCCACCGACCUCGAAGCUAAGGGUGUCAUCAGAGAGCCCCCGAGGCCUAUAAAGAAAGCUUCUGCACCUUUCUCUUCUAAUCGCCCCUCUGGGGUAUCACCCACCUGCUAGGGCGUGGUCCAAGAAUGGGUCGUGUGAGCAGAAUUCCGAGUGCUUGUGAGGAAACUCCAAGGAAACGGGACGAGUCUUGUGAUCACAGUUUUUUCAAAACAACCGUUCUUGGAAUGUGUUUCCAAUGCCCUUCCUAGGUGUAAGGAUUCAGGUGUUAGGCUGGCCUGCCCCUGUCACCUGGCAGAAUGCACUCAGGCAGCACCCUGGUCAGCCCUGGUGCAAAGGACCCCUCUAAAAGAUCUCAAGCCC
Long non-coding RNA from Mesocricetus auratus (golden hamster), 907 nucleotides. RefSeq lists it as uncharacterized. The record is from RefSeq and is a predicted model, not a curated record. NCBI's taxonomy places the organism in Eukaryota, Metazoa, Chordata, Mammalia, Rodentia, Cricetidae. The transcript has 3 exons.